GACGAACGCUGGCGGCGUGCUUAACACAUGCAAGUCGAACGGAAAGGCCCUGCUUUUGUGGGGUGCUCGAGUGGCGAACGGGUGAGUAACACGUGAGUAACCUGCCCUUGACUUUGGGAUAACUUCAGGAAACUGGGGCUAAUACCGGAUAGGAGCUCCUGCUGCAUGGUGGGGGUUGGAAAGUUUCGGCGGUUGGGGAUGGACUCGCGGCGUAUCAGCUUGUUGGGGGGGUAGUGGCUUACCAAGGCUUUGACGGGUAGCCGGCCUGAGAGGGUGACCGGCGACAUUGGGACUGAGGUACGGCCCAGACUGCUACGGGAGGCAGCAGUGGGGAAUAUUGCACAAUGGGCGGAAGCCUGAUGCAGCAACGCCGCGUGCGGGAUGACGGCCUUCGGGUUGUAAACCGCUUUCGCCUGUGACGAAGCGUGAGUGACGGUAAUGGGUAAAGAAGCACCGGCUAACUACGUG
Molecule: ribosomal RNA, 468 nt
Filed under: uncultured bacterium
Lineage: Bacteria
Description: partial 16S ribosomal RNA
Rfam family: Bacterial small subunit ribosomal RNA
Source: RNAcentral